This 1003-nucleotide long non-coding RNA is filed under the name Sinocyclocheilus anshuiensis. RNAcentral's name for it is "lncRNA (ENSSANG00000021811.1)". Lineage: Eukaryota; Metazoa; Chordata; Actinopteri; Cypriniformes; Cyprinidae. The record is from RNAcentral.
UGUGUACAUAUGUAUCUACACGUGUAUUUUUAAUGUAGCCCAUAUGUGUGUGUGUUAUUUAUAUAUUUAUUUUUUAAAAGAACCUCUUAGAGAUCUCAUUAUUUUAUGUAUUUUUGAAGAAAAAAAAAGUAUAUAUAUAUAUAUAUAUAUAUAUAUAUAUAUAUAUAUAGAUUAGACAUUUAUUAUUUAUACAUUUAUUUUAAAAGAUAUUCUUAGAUAUGUAUCAUAAUAUUUAAAAUAUUCUACUUGAUCUGUCGAUUCAGCAUACUGAUGUUUGUCUUGUUUUUUAAAUAACAAAGGUGAUUAAUGAACUCAUAUUCCUUAAAAAUCUCAUGUUGGAAUAUUCAAGGACUUAGGUCCUCCAUUUUUGGUGUUAAGAGCCAACAUUCAGAUUUCAAAAGAGAAAUUCUGAAUUCUGAUAUUAUAAUACUACAAGAAACAUGGAAUGUAAGAGAUUUGUCCACUGGCUGCCCAACUGGGUUUAGAGAAAUCAUUUUACCAUCAACCAAACUAAGAGGGGUGACCCAGGGCAGAGACUCCGGGGGAAUGCUGAUAUGGUACAGAACAGAACUCAGAGACUCAAUCAAAUCUAUAAAAAUCGGAAAAUCGUACAUUUGGCUAAAAAUACAAAAAGAUAUUGUGUCCACAGACCGUCACAUAUUCUUGUGUGCCACAUACUUACCCCCGGCUGAAUCUCCCUAUUACAAUGAAGAAACCUUUUCUAUCCUGCACGACGAGAUCUGCCAUUUCCAGACAAAAGGAAAUGUUUUAAUAUGUGGCGACUUAAAUGCCAGAACUGGAAAUGAAGCCGACUUUGUCAACACACAAGGAGACAAAUAUAUUACAAACACCUGCCACUCUCUGCCCUCAUAUCACCGCAGAAAAAAUUAUGACCGCUUCACAAACAAAAGUGGGAAAAGCCUACUACAGCUCUGUCAAUCACUGGGCCUGUACAUAGUGAACGGUCGCAUGCGAGGAGACUCUUUUGGUUGUUAUACCUUUA